UCAAAGGGUUGAAAACACACAGCCGCGUU
This 29-nucleotide non-coding RNA is filed under the name Rattus norvegicus (Norway rat). Lineage: Eukaryota; Metazoa; Chordata; Mammalia; Rodentia; Muridae. The record is from RNAcentral.